This 252-nucleotide ribosomal RNA is filed under the name uncultured bacterium. Its description in RNAcentral is "partial 16S ribosomal RNA". It matches the Rfam family "Bacterial small subunit ribosomal RNA", at positions 524 to 776 of the family's 1533-position model. The record is from RNAcentral.
UACGUAGGGAGCGAGCGUUAUCCGGAUUUAUUGGGUGUAAAGCGUGUGUAGGCGGUUUCUUAAGUCUGUGGUUUAAGUCUGGAGCUCAACUCCAGUUCGCCAUGGAAACUGAGUUACUUGAGUAUGGUAGAGGCAAGUGGAAUUUCUAGUGUAGCGGUGGAAUGCGUAGAUAUUAGAAGGAACACCAGUGGCGAAGGCGGCUUGCUGGGCCAUCACUGACGCUGAGACACGAAAGCGUGGGGAGCAAAUAGG